This 253-nucleotide ribosomal RNA is filed under the name uncultured bacterium. RNAcentral's name for it is "partial 16S ribosomal RNA". It matches the Rfam family "Bacterial small subunit ribosomal RNA", at positions 524 to 776 of the family's 1533-position model. The record is from RNAcentral.
UACGAAGGGUGCAAACGUUGCUCGGAAUUAUUGGGCGUAAAGCGCACGUAGGCGGCUUGGCAAGUCGGAUGUGAAAUCCCUCGGCUCAACCAAGGAAGUGCAUCCGAAACUGCCGAGCUUGAGUACUUAAGAGGAUCGCGGAAUUCCCGGUGUAGAGGUGAAAUUCGUAGAUAUCGGGAGGAACAUCAGUGGCGAAGGCGGCGAUCUGGGAAGUUACUGACGCUGAGGUGCGAAAGCGUGGGGAGCGAACAGG